GAUGAACGCUGGCGGCGUGCCUAAUACAUGCAAGUCGAGCGAACAGACGAGGAGCUUGCUCCUCUGACGUUAGCGGCGGACGGGUGAGUCACACGUGGAUAACCUACCUAUCAGACUGGGAUAACUUCGGGAAACCGGCGCUAAUACCGGAUAACAUGUUGAACCGCAUGGUUCAACAGUGAAAGUCGGUUUUGCUGUCUCUUCUAGCUGGAUCCGCGUCGCAUUAGCUAGUUGGUACGGUAACGGCUUACCAAGGCAACGAUGCGUAGCCGACCUGAGAGGGUGAUCGGCCACACUGGAACUGAGCCACGGUCCAGAGGCCUACGGGAGGCAGCAGUAGGGAAUCGUCCGCAAUGGGCGAAAGCCUGACGGAGCAACGCCGAGUGAGUGAAGAAGGUCUUCGGAUCGUAAAACUCUGUUAUUAGGGAAGAACAAAUGUGUAAGUAACUAUGCACGUCUUGACGGUACCUAAUCAGAAAGCCACGGCUAACUACGUG
Molecule: ribosomal RNA, 497 nt
Filed under: uncultured bacterium
Lineage: Bacteria
Description: partial 16S ribosomal RNA
Rfam family: Bacterial small subunit ribosomal RNA
Source: RNAcentral